GUUCCAGCCGCCGCGGUAAAACGUAGGAGACAAACGUUAUCCGGAGUUACUGGGCGUAAAGGGCGUGUAGGUGGUUUUGUAAGUCUGGCGUGAAAUUUUUCGGCUUAACCGGGAAAGGUCGUCGGAUACUGCAGGACUGGAGGACGGUAGAGGCGUGUGGAAUUCCGGGUGUAGUGGUGAAAUGCGUAGAGAUCCGGAGGAACACCAGUGGCGAAGGCGACACGCUGGGCCGUACCUGACACUGAUGCGCGACAGCAUGGGGAGCAAACAGGAUUAGAUACCCCGGUAGUCC
RNAcentral lists this ribosomal RNA (292 nucleotides) under uncultured bacterium. RNAcentral's name for it is "partial 16S ribosomal RNA". It matches the Rfam family "Bacterial small subunit ribosomal RNA", at positions 505 to 796 of the family's 1533-position model. The record is from RNAcentral.